This 254-nucleotide ribosomal RNA is filed under the name uncultured bacterium. RNAcentral's name for it is "partial 16S ribosomal RNA". It matches the Rfam family "Bacterial small subunit ribosomal RNA", at positions 524 to 776 of the family's 1533-position model. The record is from RNAcentral.
UACAGGGGGUGCAAACGUUGCUCGGAAUCACUGGGCGUAAAGGGCGUGUAGGCGGGAAGGAUAGUCAGAUGUGAAAGCCCUGGGCUCAACCCAGGAACUGCAUUUGAAACUCCCUUUCUUGAGUGUCGGAGAGGAAAAGCGGAAUUCCUGGUGUAGAGGUGAAAUUCGUAGAUAUCAGGAGGAACACCGGUGGCGAAGGCGGCUUUCUGGACGACAACUGACGCUGAGACGCGAAAGCGUGGGGAGCAAACAGG